CCUACGGGUGGCUGCAGUGGGGAAUAUUGCACAAUGGGGGAAACCCUGAUGCAGCAACGCCGCGUGAGUGAAGAAGGAUGUCGGGAUGUAAAGCUCUAUCAGCAGGGAAGAAGAAAGACGGUACCGGACGAAGAAGCCCCGGCUAACUACGUGCCAGCAGCCGCGGUAAGACGUAGGGGGCAAGCGUGAUCCGGAUUUACGGGGUGUAAAGGGAGCGUAGACGGCUGUGCCAGUCUGACGUGAAAGCCCGUGGCUCAACCGCGGAACUGCUUUGGAAACUGUCUAGCUUGAGUACUGGAGCGGCAGGCGGAAUUCCUAGUGUCGCGGUUAAAUGCGUCGAUCUUCGGCG
RNAcentral lists this ribosomal RNA (349 nucleotides) under uncultured bacterium. RNAcentral's name for it is "partial 16S ribosomal RNA". It matches the Rfam family "Bacterial small subunit ribosomal RNA", at positions 338 to 703 of the family's 1533-position model. The record is from RNAcentral.